Molecule: long non-coding RNA, 295 nt
Filed under: Populus tremula
Lineage: Eukaryota; Viridiplantae; Streptophyta; Magnoliopsida; Malpighiales; Salicaceae
Description: long non-coding RNA (PTRE_LNC003300)
Source: RNAcentral
AACUUACAUUAAAAGAUCGUCCUUCCACUGUGCCUCGAACUGGCGGGUAAAUUGAUUCCGCUUCGAAGGCACACCGCGUCUGCGAUGUGAAACAUCGCUGGAAGAGGCAGCAUCGGUUGACGGCGCAGGUGGUGUAGGUGCCUCUUCUUGAGAGGGACCUAAGGAAACAUCAUCAUCGCUGCUAGACGAACUUGAUUCGACUGGACAUGAACGACCAGCUCUGGUUUUCAUUUUGCGCAUCUAAACAAUUUUAUAUUAAUAAUUGUAUAAUAAAAUUCAAAAGUUAAAAAAAAAU